RNAcentral lists this ribosomal RNA (1144 nucleotides) under Enterococcus hirae. RNAcentral's name for it is "bacterial SSU rRNA". It matches the Rfam family "Bacterial small subunit ribosomal RNA", at positions 42 to 1161 of the family's 1533-position model. Lineage: Bacteria; Bacillati; Bacillota; Bacilli; Lactobacillales; Enterococcaceae. The record is from RNAcentral.
GCGCGUGCUAUACAUGCAGUCGAACGCUUCUUUUUCCACCGGAGCUUGCUCCACCGGAAAAAGAGGAGUGGCGAACGGGUGAGUAACACGUGGGUAACCUGCCCAUCAGAAGGGGAUAACACUUGGAAACAGGUGCUAAUACCGUAUAACAAUCGAAACCGCAGGGUUUUGAUUUGAAAGGCGCUUUCGGGUGUCGCUGAUGGAUGGACCCGCGGUGCAUUAGCUAGUUGGUGAGGUAACGGCUCACCAAGGCGACGAUGCAUAGCCGACCUGAGAGGGUGAUCGGCCACAUUGGGACUGAGACACGGCCCAAACUCCUACGGGAGGCAGCAGUAGGGAAUCUUCGGCAAUGGACGAAAGUCUGACCGAGCAACGCCGCGUGAGUGAAGAAGGUUUUCGGAUCGUAAAACUCUGUUGUUAGAGAAGAACAAGGAUGAGAGUAACUGUUCAUCCCUUGACGGUAUCUAACCAGAAAGCCACGGCUAACUACGUGCCAGCAGCCGCGGUAAUACGUAGGUGGCAAGCGUUGUCCGGAUUUAUUGGGCGUAAAGCGAGCGCAGGCGGUUUCUUAAGUCUGAUGUGAAAGCCCCCGGCUCAACCGGGGAGGGUCAUUGGAAACUGGGAGACUUGAGUGCAGAAGAGGAGAGUGGAAUUCCAUGUGUAGCGGUGAAAUGCGUAGAUAUAUGGAGGAACACCAGUGGCGAAGGCGGCUCUCUGGUCUGUAACUGACGCUGAGGCUCGAAAGCGUGGGGAGCAAACAGGAUUAGAUACCCUGGUAGUCCACGCCGUAAACGAUGAGUGCUAAGUGUUGGAGGGUUUCCGCCCUUCAGUGCUGCAGCUAACGCAUUAAGCACUCCGCCUGGGGAGUACGACCGCAAGGUUGAAACUCAAAGGAAUUGACGGGGGCCCGCACAAGCGGUGGAGCAUGUGGUUUAAUUCGAAGCAACGCGAAGAACCUUACCAGGUCUUGACAUCCUUUGACCACUCUAGAGAUAGAGCUUCCCCUUCGGGGGCAAAAUGACAGGUGGUGCAUGGUUGUCCUCAACUCCUGUCCUGAAAAGUUGGGGUUAAUUCCGCCACCAAAGCACCCCUCUUUGUAGUUGCCUCCCUUUUUUUGGGGCUCCUCUCAAAAUGCCGGUGACAA